GACAUACACACCAGCCAGCUGAGGCGCUGAGCCAGUCACCGCGGUGCGAGCGCCCAGUCCCGGCCGCCGCCAGCGCUCGAUGCUGACCGCCGUGUCCAAGUUCCGCAACAAAUCCGGUCUCGCCAGCACCACCCGUGUUAUGCCCUUCUUCCUCUCCACCUUCCCCGCCCCCGCCACCGCCGCUCCGCUCUGCCCUCCUCCGUCCCCAUACCCUAGCCCCCACUUCCGCCUCCCUUCCCUGCCCCGCCGCGGCCUCGCCUUCCUCGCCGCCGCUGCGCCGCCGCGGGCCCUGCCCCCCACGCCCAGGCAGGCCAUGGCGUCGCUGGCGACGUCGACGGCGGCCGCCGCCGCCGCGGAGGUGACGCACCUCUCGCAGCGCGACGCUGCGGAUAUCGACGAGCAGCUCAUGGGCCCCCUCGGUUUCAGCGUCGACCAGCUCAUGGAGCUCGCCGGGCUAAGCGUCGCUACGGCCGUCGCGGAGGUUUAUAAGCUGAGUGAGCAUACGAGGGUUCUUAUCAUCUGUGGUCCGGGAAAUAAUGGUGGUGAUGGUCUGGUUGCUGCUCGCCAUCUUUAUCAUUUUGGAUACAAGCCCUUUGUUUGUUAUCCAAAACGUACCGCCAAACCUCUUUAUUCUGGCCUUGUUACUCAGCUUGAAUCGCUGGCUAUCCCGUUUGUGCCUGUUGAAGACCUACCUCAGGACUUAUCAGGGCAGUAUGACAUUGUUAUUGACGCGAUGUUUGGUUUCUCAUUUCAUGGAACACCCCGACCACCCUUUGAUGAUCUUAUCCAAAUGCUUGUUUCAUUGAGUGUUGUUGGUGAUUCAGCGAAAAGACCACCAAUUGUUUCUGUUGAUAUCCCUUCUGGGUGGCAUGUAGAAGAGGGAGAUGUCAGUGGAGGAGGAAUUAAGCCUGAUAUGCUGGUAUCAUUGACUGCACCAAAGCUCUGUGCCAAAAAAUUUACUGGGCCCCACCAUUUCCUAGGGGGUAGGUUUGUCCCGCCUCCCAUUUCGAGCAAAUAUGGGCUCGAACUUCCACCAUAUCCUGGAACCUCCAUGUGUGUAAGAAUUGGAAAAGUGCCGUCAGUUGACAUUUCAUCUCUCAGGGAGAAUUAUAUUUCCCCAGAACUUCUUGAGAACCAAGUGAUGCCUAAUCCAUUUGACCAGUUUCGUAGUUGGUUUGAUGAAGCAGUUACUGCUGGCCUGCGCGAACCAAAUGCCAUGGCUUUAACAACUGUCAAUAAAGCGGGAAAGCCUUCUUCAAGAAUGGUUCUUUUAAAAGGCGUUGAUAAGCAGGGAUUUGUUUGGUACACAAAUUACGGUAGCCAAAAAGCACAUGAUUUAUCGGAAAAUUCAAAUGCGGCACUUCUUUUCUACUGGAAUGAGAUGAACCGACAGGUUAGAGUAGAAGGGUCAGUUCAGAAGGUCUCAGAAGAAGAAUCUGAGAAGUAUUUCCACAGCCGCCCACGUGGAAGUCAGCUUGGUGCUAUUGUUAGCAAGCAGAGCACUGUCAUUUCUGGAAGAGAAGUUCUCCAACAAGCGUACAAGGAAUUGGAACAAAAAUAUUCUGAUGGUAGCUUCAUCCCAAAACCUGAUUACUGGGGUGGGUACAGAUUGACACCAAAUCUUUUUGAGUUCUGGCAAGGCCAACAGUCUCGUCUGCAUGACCGGCUACAGUAUUCACAGCGAGAAGUAGGUGGGAGUACAGAAUGGCACAUCCAAAGGUUGUCCCCUUGAUCAGUAACCUCCUUAAAGCUCUCGCCUCUUGGUAAUAAAAGGGGGUGUCGUUUUGGUACCUGCGCACACUUGCUCCUGAAAAGCAGGAUACAUGAGGCGUAUAAGCCGAUUUAAUGCAGCGGGCCCAAACUCGCGAGGCAGGCUGUGAAGAUUGCUGUUAUGUUGCUCGUUUGUUUGAUGACUGGCGCUACUCCGAACUCACAUGGGCCAUCGGCCCAGGAUGUGCAACCCUUAUGUUCCAUGGUUUCCAGCCUGUAACCGAGGGCUCUCUUCACAUUGGAUACUUCUCAUGUGCUACUAUUUCUUAGUGUCUCGACUCUUUUCACAUAAAUGAAUUGGUGAAAGUCUGAACUUGCUGACAAAUAUGUAGAGUCCAUUUUUCCUGUAUUGACGACCGAGCUUGUCAGGGUUGUGUGUUGACAAAUUAUAUGGUAUUUUCCUAUUAAAAAACUUACAUGGUAUAUUAAAUGUACAUGGUUUAAAACUUGUA
This is an RNA transcript of Aegilops tauschii subsp. strangulata, 2222 nucleotides long. It is a transcript of the gene named pyridoxine/pyridoxamine 5'-phosphate oxidase 1, chloroplastic, with no coding region annotated. The record is from RefSeq and is a predicted model, not a curated record. Lineage: Eukaryota; Viridiplantae; Streptophyta; Magnoliopsida; Poales; Poaceae.